AGGGAAUUUUCCGCAAUGGGCGAAAGCCUGACGGAGCAAUCUCGCGUGAGGGAUGACGGCCUAUGGGUUGUAAACCUCUUUUUUCAGGGAGGAAUAAAUGACGUGUACCUGAAGAAUAAGCAUCGGCUAACUC
RNAcentral lists this ribosomal RNA (133 nucleotides) under uncultured bacterium. Its description in RNAcentral is "partial 16S ribosomal RNA". It matches the Rfam family "Bacterial small subunit ribosomal RNA", at positions 356 to 503 of the family's 1533-position model. The record is from RNAcentral.